ACGAAAAUCAAUUCCCUUACGCAUAACGCAGAGAGAGCAAAGACAGGGGAAUCGUGUUCGUGCAUUGAAGAAACUAAGUGCCUUAGGAGUUGAUUUUAUUUUUCUGGUUUUCUGGGCAAUGGAAGAUUCAGAAAAAAAGAGGCAUCGUGAGAGGAGAGAUAGGGAUAAGGAUAGAGAACGGCGUCGUUCCGAGAUGGAGAAGAGCGGCGAUUCCGAUAGAGAAAAGGAAAGGGACAGAGAAAAGCAUCGGGAACGGUGUCGUUCUGAGAGGGAUAAUAGCAGUGAUUCGGAUAGAGAAAAAGAAAGGGACAAAGAAAAGCAUCGAGAACGGCGUCGUUCUGAGAAGGAGAAGAGCAGUGAUUCCGACAGAGAAAAGGAGAGGGAAAAAGAAAAAUACCGAGAACGGCGUCGUUCCGAGAGAGAGAAGAGCAGUGAUUCCGAUAGAGAGAAGGAGAGGGAGAAAGAAAAACACCGUGAAAGAGGGAGGGAAAGGAAAGACAGGGAACGGGAGAAAGAGAGGGAGAGGGAAAGAGCUAGGGAGAAGGAAAGGGAGAAGCGUGAAAGGGAAAGAGAAAGGGAGAAGAGAGAAAGGGAAAGGGAAAGGCAAAGGGAAAAACAAAGGGAGAGGGAGAGGGAGAGGGAGAGGGAGAGGGAGAGGGAGAGGGAGAGGGAAAGGGAAAGAGAAAGAGAAAGGAAGUUAAGGGAAAGGGAGAAGCGGAGGGAGUAUGACAGUGAUGAUAGUAAGGAGGAGAAAGAACAAAAUAGGAAACGUCGAAGGAGGGAGCAGGAUGAUGAUGAUGACUGUAAUAAUGAUUAUAAGGAGAAGGAGAGCAAAUCAAAUAGAGGAGAGAGUCCGGUUAGGAAAAAGAGCAGCAUAGAAGAGUCAGAGAAGGGGCAGAAAAGUAGGGAGGAGGAGAUGGAAGACGAACAACGUAAAUUGGAUGAGGAGAUGGAGAAAAGGAGGAGGAGGGUUCAAGAAUGGCAAGAGUUGAGGAGGAAGAAGGAAGAGGCAGAGAGAGAAAAACGCGGGGAAGGGAAUGCUGUGGAGGAGGAGGAGCCUAAGGUUGGUAAGGCUUGGACUCUCGAAGGGGAAUCGGAUGACGAUGAAGCCAGAUCUCCAAUGAAACCAGAGACAGAUAUGGAUGUGGAUGAUAACGAGAAAUCUAAGCCAGAUGGUAAGGAAAUUGGAGAUGCGAUGGUUGAAGAUAGUAAUUCUGAGGAUGGAAAAGAUAAAAUGGUUGUCGACCAAAAUGGGGGUAAUGAGGGUGCUGUGGAUGAAGAUGAAAUUGAUCCAUUAGAUGCUUUUAUGAAUUUAAUGGUGUUACCUGAAGUUGAGAAGCUAAGUACUGCAGUUGUUGAUCCUCCUCCUAGUGGUAAUAAUGGGAACUUGAAGAAUGACAAAAAAGAUGGCUUGAGUAAUGGUGGACUGCAGCAGCCAAAGAAAGGCUCGAACAAGGCACUUGGGAGAAUCAUUCCUGGGGAAGAUUCGGAUUCAGAUUACGGGGAUAUUGAAAAUGUCGAAGAGAAUUUAGAAGAUGAAGAUGAUGAUGAGUUUAUGAAAAGGGUAAAGAAGACAAAAGCUGAGAAGCUAUCGAUUGUUGACCACACAAAGAUUGAUUAUAAACCUUUCAGGAAAAAUUUCUAUAUUGAAGUUAAGGAGAUCUCUAGAAUGACACCUGAGGAAGUGGCUGCUUACAGGAAGGAAUUGGAACUGAAGUUACAUGGAAAGGAUGUGCCGAAACCAAUCAAAACCUGGCAUCAAACUGGACUCGCAAGUAAAAUAUUAGAAACAAUAAGGAAGCUCAAUUAUGAGAAGCCAAUGCCAAUUCAAGCUCAGGCGCUGCCCAUAAUUAUGAGUGGUCGAGAUUGCAUUGGCGUAGCAAAAACCGGCUCUGGUAAAACCCUAGCUUUUGUGCUACCUAUGUUAAGGCAUAUUAAAGAUCAGCCACCUGUAGUAGCUGGAGAUGGACCUAUUGGGCUCAUUAUGGCACCUACAAGGGAGCUUGUCCAGCAAAUUCACAGUGACAUAAAGAAGUUUACCAAGGCAAUGGGAAUCAGAUGUGUUCCUGUCUAUGGAGGUUCUGGUGUUGCCCAGCAGAUUAGUGAAUUAAAGCGGGGAACAGAGAUUGUUGUAUGUACUCCAGGUAGGAUGAUUGAUAUACUUUGUACUAGUGGGGGGAAAAUUAGCAAUCUGCGUAGAGUGACAUACUUCGUUCUGGAUGAAGCUGACAGAAUGUUUGAUAUGGGUUUUGAACCUCAAAUUACUCGAAUUGUUCAAAAUAUUCGACCUGAUCACCAAACUGUGCUAUUUUCUGCCACAUUCCCUCGCCAGGUCGAGAUUUUGGCCCGUAAAGUAUUGAAUAAACCUGUUGAAAUACAGGUUGGUGGGAGAAGUGUUGUGAAUAAGGACAUAACUCAGUUGGUCGAGAUGAGGCCAGAAAGUGAAAGGUUCCUAAGAUUGUUAGAACUUCUCGGUGAAUGGUAUGAGAAGGGGAAAAUUCUGAUCUUUGUCCACACCCAAGAAAAGUGUGAUGCUUUGUUCAGGGAUUUGCUCAAACAUGGUUAUCCUUGCUUGUCACUUCAUGGGGCCAAGGAUCAAACUGAUCGAGAAUCCACCAUUUCUGAUUUUAAGAGCAACGUCUGCAAUUUGUUGAUUGCAACAAGUGUUGCAGCUAGGGGUUUAGAUGUAAAGGAGCUCGAAUUAGUGAUUAAUUUUGAUGUUCCAAAUCAUUAUGAAGACUAUGUUCACCGUGUUGGUAGGACUGGUAGAGCUGGAAGGAAAGGCUUUGCUAUCACAUUUAUCUCUGAGGAUGAUGCAAGAUAUGCACCAGAUCUUGUAAAAGCUUUAGAGCUCUCUGAGCAAGUUGUUCCUGAUGACCUGAAAGCUCUUGCUGAUGGAUUUAUGGCUAAAGUAAAUCAGGGACUUGAGCAGGCCCACGGAACAGGUUAUGGUGGAAGUGGUUUUAAAUUCAAUGAAGAGGAAGAUGAAAAGAGAAAAGCAGCAAAGAAAGCGCAAGCAAAAGAAUACGGGUUUGAGGAAGACAAGUCAGAUUCAGAAGAUGAAGAUGAAGGGGUGCGGAAGGCAGGUGGUGACAUAUCACAGCAGACAGCACUUGCUCAGAUAGCUGCCAUGGCUGCUGCCUCCAAAGCUAGUACUGGUUUGAUGCAGAAUCCUCUAUCAUCUGCUCAACUGCUUCCUAAUUCUGUGUUGCCUAUUUCUCUUCCUGGUGUGCUUGGUGUGUCAAUGCCCAGUACUGCAGCAGUUGUUCCUGGUAGUGGGUUGCCGGGUCUUCCAAAUGAAGAGGCUGCUCGAAAAGCUGCACUGCAAGCUGCUCUCAAUUUACAGCAUAACUUAGCGAAGAUUCAAGCUGAUGUUAUGCCUGAACAUUAUGAAGCCGAGUUGGAGAUUAAUGAAUUUCCCCAAAAUGCUCGAUGGAAGGUUACCCACAAGGAAACUCUGGGCCCAAUAUCGGAAUGGACCGGAGCUGCCAUUACUACAAGGGGCCAGUAUUUCCCACCUGGUCGGAUCCCAGGACCAGGAGAACGAAAGCUUUACUUGUUCAUUGAGGGACCUUCCGAGCUAUCUGUUAAGAGAGCUAAGGCAGAACUGAAACGUGUCCUGGAAGACAUCUCACACCAGUCCUUACAACUUCCUGGCGGGACUCAACCUGGCAGAUACCAAGUUUUAUAGAUAGAUAGAUCCGUUACUAGCUCUCACCUUUAUGGGAGGAACUAUCGCAAAAGUACUAGCUGAUAAAGGCCUCAGAAGGAAUGGACUUUAUGUUCAUUCUGAUGCAUUGGCUCGUGUUACCUGGCCUCGGAUUCACUAGUCCUUUAGUCAAUUUCAUAUGGAUGGUGCCUUGAGAACUUGGUGUAGCCAAAAGUCAAUUAGUAGAAUGGGAUGCUUUAUUUCCAGAACCAUAUGAUAUGAUGGAGUUUCUUUCUUUUAUUGUCAAAAGUGUUCGAUGAUGUUUCUAUAUUAUUAAUUUCCCUUUUGAUGAGGAAGAUGAUGUAUUUUUUUCAUGUCUUAGGUGUUACUGAAAACAU
RNA transcript from Hibiscus syriacus, 4047 nucleotides. It is a transcript of the gene named DEAD-box ATP-dependent RNA helicase 42-like, with no coding region annotated. The transcript is spliced from 5 exons. The record is from RefSeq and is a predicted model, not a curated record. NCBI's taxonomy places the organism in Eukaryota, Viridiplantae, Streptophyta, Magnoliopsida, Malvales, Malvaceae.